CCCCCGCCCCAGUACCCCACCCCAGGAUACCCAGUUGCCUUGGAGACUACAAGUUUUCAACCUCGUUGUUGUCGUCGUCGGCAGGAAUGCUGAUAAGGUUUAUAGUGCCCCGGAAGAGGUGAGCGCACCUGGUGAACAGAUCUUGGGUCCUGGUCACUCUACCCAAUUAGAAGGUAGAAGGCUCCUUGAAGAAACCACCCUCAAGGAUCGAUAGAUGGAGAAGUGUCCCCUAUUUUGAGUGAUAACAGAAGGGGCUUGCAGGCCUAGCAUUACUACUGAGAGGAAUGUGGAAUGGAGAGGACCAGGAGGAUCGCAAAGCAUCAUGAGAGGCCCAUACGUGAGAAUGAUCUGUUGGCCACUAAUCACAGGGUUUAUUUGAAUGCCCUGGCUGGCUAAACAAGCUUCCCAAUCUUUAAAACAAACGUGCAUCACUCCCACAUCUGUGGGCUCAGCUGAGAAGAGCAUUCUGUCCUGUCCAGGGAAGGCCAGUCUUGUAUCCAACUGUAUAAGGCCCAGCCCAGCCUCGCCCACCCAGCGCCGCAUUGCCUUGCCUGCAGCCGUGGCAAGAGGGGAAGCCUUCCGAGAUGGGUGUGCAAAUGGGACCCCUGGCAGGGCGUGGAGGCUGCUUUCUCAGACCAAGGGGAACCCAGGCAAUUGCUCAGACAUCUCCUGGCCCUCCAAGCCAGCAGGAGCUCUGAGCUUGUUUCAGUGGGAUUAAGGAGGUGUGGACCUUGAUGACCUGAA
Long non-coding RNA from Ochotona princeps (American pika), 744 nucleotides. RefSeq lists it as uncharacterized. The record is from RefSeq and is a predicted model, not a curated record. The transcript has 5 exons. Lineage: Eukaryota; Metazoa; Chordata; Mammalia; Lagomorpha; Ochotonidae.